UAGGGAAUCUUCGGCAAUGGACGAAAGUCUGACCGAGCAACGCCGCGUGAGUGAAGAAGGUUUUCGGAUCGUAAAACUCUGUUGUUAGAGAAGAACAAGGACGUUAGUAACUGAACGUCCCCUGACGGUAUCUAACCAGAAAGCCACGGCUAACUACGUGCCAGCAGCCGCGGUAAUACGUAGGUGGCAAGCGUUGUCCGGAUUUAUUGGGCGUAAAGCGAGCGCAGGCGGUAUCUUAAGUCUGAUGUGAAAGCCCCCGGCUCAACCGGGGAGGGUCAUUGGAAACUGGGAGACUUGAGUGCAGAAGAGGAGAGUGGAAUUCCAUGUGUAGCGGUGAAAUGCGUAGAUAUAUGGAGGAACACCAGUGGCGAAGGCGGCUCUCUGGUCUGUAACUGACGCUGAGGCUCGAAAGCGUGGGGAGCAAACAGG
RNAcentral lists this ribosomal RNA (429 nucleotides) under Gemmatimonadota bacterium. RNAcentral's name for it is "Gemmatimonadetes bacterium partial 16S ribosomal RNA". It matches the Rfam family "Bacterial small subunit ribosomal RNA", at positions 355 to 776 of the family's 1533-position model. Lineage: Bacteria; Pseudomonadati; Gemmatimonadota. The record is from RNAcentral.